CCUCUCCACAUAUCUCUCUCUUUAGCCAUCUCUCUCUUGAAAUCACCAUGAAAGCUUGAGCUCUCUCCUCUCUGCCUCUCUCUCUCCGCGUCUCUCUCUCUCUCCGCCUCUCUCUCUCCGUGUCACUCUCUCUCCGUGUCUCUCUCUCUCCGGCGUCUCUCUCUGCGUCUCACUCUCUUGUCAGCUCACUCUCUCUCAGAUUACUUAAGAUGUCAACUUCAAGUCUCAUGUGGGUUUUAUUAACUUGCAUAUGGUUCAUCACUUGAUUUGCUUGUGGGACAAAUUGUUACUGAUGGGCAAACCUCAUUGCUGCAACAUGAGAUGACCAAACGGUGUAUGUUUCUCUUCUGUGAGAAAAAGGAACAUAGAUAUUGCACUGAGAACAUCAAAAUGCGCCUUUGAUGUAUAUAUGUAAUUAGUCUUUACCUUCGAACAAAUCAAUGGAUUCUUGUUGAAUCAUUCAUUCACAUUCGUUCGUUUUGAUGAUUACACUUCUUUAACCGAAAUUCAAAUUGAAUAUUCGUAUAUGCAAAUGAUCCAUUAUCAUGUUA
This is a long non-coding RNA of Raphanus sativus (radish), 551 nucleotides long. RefSeq lists it as uncharacterized. NCBI's taxonomy places the organism in Eukaryota, Viridiplantae, Streptophyta, Magnoliopsida, Brassicales, Brassicaceae. The transcript is spliced from 2 exons. The record is from RefSeq and is a predicted model, not a curated record.